This 287-nucleotide long non-coding RNA is filed under the name Lathyrus oleraceus (garden pea). Its description in RNAcentral is "Pisum sativum (pea) long non-coding RNA (PSAT_LNC026653)". The record is from RNAcentral. Lineage: Eukaryota; Viridiplantae; Streptophyta; Magnoliopsida; Fabales; Fabaceae.
ACUUUUUACCAACUUUUCCAUUUUUUGUACUUUCUCUUAGAUAUUUUACAGCAUUGCUUUGUGGGGGAUUUUAUGCCCUAAAAUUCAUUUCUCUUCAUCUAGCAACCAUCUUCCACAAAAAGACGGUGGAUUCCCAUCCAACUUCGAUCAUUCGACUUGGAUGUUGAUCAACCCUCUUUUCUUACUUACCGACCAAGCUACCAUGAAAAUGAGUAGCUAAGUCUCCAUUUGUCAAGGUUAGAUGUAGGUGAUUUCCAAGCUUUGUGUGUAAAUGUAAGGAUCCUCAU